AGGAAGUAAAAGUCGUAACAAGGUCUCCGUUGGUGAACCAGCGGAGGGAUCAUUACCGAGUUUACAACUCCCAAACCCCUGUGAACAUACCACUUGUUGCCUCGGCGGAUCAGCCCGCUCCCGGUAAAACGGGACGGCCCGCCAGAGGACCCCUAAACUCUGUUUCUAUAUGUAACUUCUGAGUAAAACCAUAAAUAAAUCAAAACUUUCAACAACGGAUCUCUUGGUUCUGGCAUCGAUGAAGAACGCAGCAAAAUGCGAUAAGUAAUGUGAAUUGCAGAAUUCAGUGAAUCAUCGAAUCUUUGAACGCACAUUGCGCCCGCCAGUAUUCUGGCGGGCAUGCCUGUUCGAGCGUCAUUUCAACCCUCAAGCCCUCGGGUUUGGUGUUGGGGAUCGGCGAGCCCUUGCGGCAAGCCGGCCCCGAAAUCUAGUGGCGGUCUCGCUGCAGCCUCCAUUGCGUAGUAGUAAAACCCUCGCAACUGGAACGCGGCGCGGCCAAGCCGUUAAACCCCCAACUUCUGAAUGUGACCUCGGUCAGCUAGGA
Molecule: ribosomal RNA, 544 nt
Filed under: Fusarium oxysporum
Lineage: Eukaryota; Fungi; Ascomycota; Sordariomycetes; Hypocreales; Nectriaceae
Description: eukaryotic LSU rRNA
Rfam family: 5.8S ribosomal RNA (bases 204-357)
Source: RNAcentral